CAUCUUAGCUUAGCUCUUGUCGAGAGGGUCCAGCUCGGCUGUGGUCUAAAGCAGCAAACUCCAAAUUUUCUUUCUUCCAUCUCCACUUCUUCAAUAAGGGCUCCUCUAACUCACGAAACAUACACCCUAUGCUAUACUUCCCGAGGAUUGGAAAGAAUUUGAAUCCAUGGCCUGAACCACCUGUGCAUACAAACAGAUUUUCAUAAUCUGGAUGAUAAUCAAAUACAAACUCGGCAUCGGCUGUGUCGGUAUAAUAACAAAUACGGGUUUUGUAAAAUGGCCUUUGACUAAUUUCUUCGCCAUAAGUACGUUGAAGGUUUCUGCGUAAAUCUAAUUCCGCUUCCUUGGGCAGGAUAGGAGAAACGAGAGGUUUCUUUGGUGGAACAGAUUCGACUUUUCCGGAUUUAAGAUUUUGCAUUCUCGUAAAUCCGUAUCCAUGGCGUGCAAAUUUUAGAUAACCAUCGGGGGUAGGGGGAAAAAUAUAAAAUCCAGUAUCAAAAUCUAAGUAUACAGGAUUUGUCAAAAAGCGGAUGUACUCCUCAGGAGUCAAUUUUAUGUAUGCGACUGGUUGACCGGUUGCCAAGAAUCGUGUGUGGUCAUUAGGUAAAAGAGAUGCAGUCCAUGCACCUGUAGCAAAAAUAAGUUUUUCGGCCAUGUAAGCUCCAGUAGUAGUCCUCACGCCUUUAACAACGUUUUCUUCUGUUAUAAGCUCUUCAACAGUUCCCUCAGGUCCGCUAAUGAAAGAAACACCGGCAUGUGCUAAGUAAUUAACUACGGAUUUCACAGACUGCUCAGCGUUGGCCCAUCCAGAACUAAAAUUGGCAUACCCAGCUUCUCCAUCAUUCAGCUCGCCAAUCCAUUUUGGAAAAAGUUUCCGCAAUUCUUCUGUAGUUUGAAACUUUGCUGCUGACACACCCAUUUUUGUCAGGUUUUCCAGACUCAUGUCCCGAUACUCAACAUUGUCACGGCCAACAAACAUAAGUCCUGAUCCAUAAAAUUGCUCUUUAAAAAGUGGAUUUGUGCGCCAUUCCUCUAAAGCAUCAAUACCCAUUGAACAAUACACUGCAUCCGCAUAGUCUGAACGAAUUAUACGAUUUGCAUCGACUGAAGACCCAUCGAUAACAGGCGGAGGUGCUCGAUCCAAGAUUUUGAUCGUAUAUCCACCACGUUUAGUCAACUCUAAAGCUGCAGAUAAUCCAAACACACCUGCACCAACAAUGAUUACGCUAGUAUUCUUUACCAUUCUUAAUCCCAAAAAUAUUACAGAUGCGGUUUAAAUUAAAUUUUAAAAGGUGGUUUAGCAGUCGGGCUUAAUAUAUAUUAUCAGUACUCAUUGCCAGCUACUAGUACUCCAAGAUAAGGUGCUGUCUAGCGAAGUCAGGCAUCGAUAUCGCAAAAUCACAGUCUGUUGAUACUUCUGAUGUUAGCAGUAGUUCUUUUGAUACAGAGUUAGUCACUUAGAAAGAAUGAAAAUAAAUCAACUAAGCGAGUCUGAUUUGAGCCGUGCAGAGGGAAUGUGCCAAUUUGCUAGCACAGGUCAUGCCGAGUUAUCAAAAUCAACUAUGGUCCAAAACAACCGGGUGUUUAUUUAAAAAUUAUAUUUUAGUCUUUAUUUAAAUGAACAAUAUCUUUUAUUUUCACUCUAUAGGAAAAAUACUCUUCGCACUUGUCUUGUUUACAUUUUAAUUCUCCGAAACUCCACUUCGUUAACUAGC
This 1715-nucleotide long non-coding RNA is filed under the name Schizosaccharomyces pombe (fission yeast). The record is from RNAcentral. Lineage: Eukaryota; Fungi; Ascomycota; Schizosaccharomycetes; Schizosaccharomycetales; Schizosaccharomycetaceae.